This 246-nucleotide ribosomal RNA is filed under the name uncultured Glomus. Its description in RNAcentral is "partial 18S ribosomal RNA". It matches the Rfam family "Eukaryotic small subunit ribosomal RNA", at positions 624 to 886 of the family's 1831-position model. Lineage: Eukaryota; Fungi; Glomeromycota; Glomeromycetes; Glomerales; Glomeraceae. The record is from RNAcentral.
AAGCUCGUAGUUGAAUUUCGGGAUCUGUUGGUCGGUCGUGCCUCGGUACGUACUGGUCAAAUUGAUUCCUACCCACGAUGUCAUUAAUUUGGUGUCGUGGGGAAUCAGGACUGUUACUUUGAAAAAAUUAGAGUGUUUAAAGCAGGCUCGCGCUUGAAUACAUUAGCAUGGAAUAAUGAAAUAGGACGUUUGAUUCUAUUUUGUUGGUUUCUAGGAUCGACGUAAUGAUUAAUAGGGAUAGUUGGG